AGAACGAACGCUGGCGGCGUGUUUAAGACAUGCAAGUCGCACGGGAUCACAUGAGUAGCAAUACAAGUGUGGUUUAGUGGCGCACGGGUGAGUAACACGUGAAUUACAUGCCCUUCAGUGGGGAAUAGCCCAGGGAAACUUGGAUUAAUACCCCAUGGUCUCGCAAGAGUAAAGGUGGCCGCAAGGCUGCCGCUGAGGGAUUGGUUCGCGCCCUAUCAGCUUGUUGGUGAGGUAACGGCUCACCAAGGCUACGACGGGUACCUGGUCUGAGAGGACGAUCAGGCACACUGGAACUGAGACACGGUCCAGACACCUACGGGUGGCAGCAGUCGAGAAUAAUUCACAAUGGGGGCAACCCUGAUGGUGCAACGCCGCGUGGAGGAUGACGGUCUUCGGAUUGUAAACUUCUGUCAUCCGGGAGUAAGACCUGGCGGUCAAUAGCCGACAGGGUUGAUAGUACCGGAAGAGGAAGGGACGGCUAACUUCGUGCCAGCAGCCGG
RNAcentral lists this ribosomal RNA (500 nucleotides) under uncultured bacterium. RNAcentral describes it as "SSU rRNA". It matches the Rfam family "Bacterial small subunit ribosomal RNA", at positions 26 to 518 of the family's 1533-position model. The record is from RNAcentral.